This 66-nucleotide transfer RNA is filed under the name Cricula trifenestrata. RNAcentral's name for it is "tRNA-Ala". It matches the Rfam family "tRNA". From Rfam's summary of the family: Transfer RNA (tRNA) molecules are approximately 80 nucleotides in length. Their secondary structure includes four short double-helical elements and three loops (D, anti-codon, and T loops). Further hydrogen bonds mediate the characteristic L-shaped molecular structure. tRNAs have two regions of fundamental functional importance: the anti-codon, which is responsible for specific mRNA codon recognition, and the 3' end, to which the tRNAs corresponding amino acid is attached (by aminoacyl-tRNA synthetases). tRNAs cope with the degeneracy of the genetic code in two manners: having more than one tRNA (with a specific anti-codon) for a particular amino acid; and 'wobble' base-pairing, i.e. permitting non-standard base-pairing at the 3rd anti-codon position. The record is from RNAcentral. Lineage: Eukaryota; Metazoa; Arthropoda; Insecta; Lepidoptera; Saturniidae.
AGGGUUAUAAUUUAACAAAAUAUUUGAUUUGCAAUCAAAAAAUAUUGAAUUCUAUCAAUUUACCUU